GUGCCAGCCGCCGCGGUAAUACGAAAGGUGCAAGCGUUACUCGGAAUCACUGGGCGUAAAGCGCGCGUAGGCGGACUCGUAGGUCAGUUGUGAAAUACCUGGGCUCAACCCGGGAACUGCAGCUGAAACCGCUUGUCUUGAAUACUUGAGAGGGUGGGGGAAUACCUGGUGGAGAAGUGAAAUUCGUAGAGAUCAGGUGGAACACCGGAGGCGAAGGCGCCUGCCUGGCAAUGUAUUGACGCUGAGGCGCGAAAGUGCGGGGAGCAAACAGGAUUAGAUACCCUGGUAGUCCGCACCGUAAACGAUGGAUACUAGGCGUUCGGAGAGUUAACCCUCUGAGUGCCAAAGUUUACACAUUAAGUAUCCCGCCUGGGAAGUACGGUCGCAAGACUAAAACUCAAAGGAAUUGACGGGGGCCCGCACAAGCGGUGGAGUAUGUGGUUUAAUUCGAAGCAACGCGCAGAACCUUACCUGGCCUUGACAUCGCGAGACCGGUGCAGAGAUGCAUCUUUCCCUUCGGGGACUCGUAGACAGGUGCUGCAUGGCUGUCGUCAGCUCGUGUUGUGAAAUGUUCGGUUAAGUCCGGCAACGAGCGCAACCCCUGUCCUUAGUUACCAGCAUUAAGUUGGGGACUCUAGGGAGACCGCCGGUGUUAAACCGGAGGAAGGCGGGGAUGACGUCAAGUCCUCAUGGCCCUUACGGCCAGGGCUACACACGUACUACAAUGGUAGAAACAGACGGCUGCAAGACCGCAAGGUGGAGCUAAUCCGUAAAACACUAUCUCAGUCCGGAUUGAAGUCUGCAACUCGACUUCAUGAAGUCGGAAUCGCUAGUAAUCGCGAAUCAGCAUGUCGCGGUGAAUACGUUCCCGGGCCUUGUACACACCGCCCGUCACACCAUGGGAGUUUACUGCACCAGAAGCCGGUAGCUUAACCGCAAGGGGGGCGCCGUCCACGGUGUGGUCGAUGACUGGGGUGAAGUCGUAACAAGGUAACC
This 996-nucleotide ribosomal RNA is filed under the name uncultured bacterium. RNAcentral describes it as "bacterial SSU rRNA". It matches the Rfam family "Bacterial small subunit ribosomal RNA", at positions 505 to 1501 of the family's 1533-position model. The record is from RNAcentral.